GGCUAAUCUGCCCUUAGGACGAGAAUAACCCCGGGAAACUGGGGCUAACUCUCGAUAGGUGAAGAACUCUGGAAUGAGUCUUCACUCAAAAAGCUUCACGUUAUCCUCGUGAAGUCGCCUAAGGAUGAGGCCGCGGCCGAUCAGGUUGUUGGCGAGGUAACGGCUCACCAAGCCUUUUACCGGUGCGGGCCGUGAGAGCGGGAGCCCGGAGAUGGGUACUGAGACAAGGACCCAGGCCCUACGGGGCGCAGCAGUCGCGAAACCUUUGCAAUACACGAAAGUGUGACAGGGCUAUCCCGAGUGCCAUCCGCUGAGGAAGGCUUUUACCCAGUCUAGAUAGCUGGGGGAAUAAGGAGAGGGCAAGUCUGGUGUCAGCCGCCGCGGUAAUACCAGCUCUCCGAGUGGUGUGGAUGUUUAUUGGGCCUAAAGCAUCCGUAGCUGGCUAGGUCAGUCCCUUGUCAAAUCCACCGAAUUAAUCGUUGGAUCGCGGGGGAUACUGCUUGGCUAGGGGACGAGAGAGGCAGACGGUAUUUUCGGGGUAGGGGUGAAAUCCUAUAAUCCCGGGAAGACCACCAGUGGCGAAGGCUGUCUGCUAGAACGCGCCCGACGGUGAGGGAUGAAAGCUGGGGGAGCGAACCGGAUUAGAUACCCGGGUAGUCCCAGCUGUAAACGAUGCAGACUAGGUGUUUGGACGGCCACGUGCCGUUCUAGUGCCGCAGGGAAGCUGUUAAGUCUGCCGCCUGGGGAGUACGAUCGCAAGAUUGAAACUUAA
RNAcentral lists this ribosomal RNA (772 nucleotides) under uncultured archaeon. RNAcentral's name for it is "bacterial SSU rRNA". It matches the Rfam family "Archaeal small subunit ribosomal RNA", at positions 102 to 859 of the family's 1478-position model. The record is from RNAcentral.